AUGAGCAGUGCGCCUCAGAGAAAAAAUUUCGCUGCUAUUUUGAAACGCUCCCAAGAUUUCAUGUGAUCAUUUUUACAGAAGUAAAUACUCAAGACUCCACCUAUGACCAAACGGAAAAGACGAAAGUAGGAAACGAUGGCGCUUAUCAAGCGAGUGCACCAAAAAACCCACUGACGGCCGUACUCCCAUCACGUAUCGUAUUCAAGUGGUCGAUGAACCUUUCUUCAAGGAGGCUGCCAAUUUCAUGAUCGAGAAUUUUCUUCCAACGGAAAAUAUAUGCUCAUCUAUCGGUUUGUUAUCGGAAAACGGAGGUAUUGAAUCGGCGCGUGUUUUUUGGGAGAAGCAAGUUCUAAAGGGAUUUCCUUGGCUGCAUUUCUAGAGGAAAAAGAUGGGAGCAGAGGGAAAAUGAUCAGCUGUAACGUUUUGGAAGUAGAGAGAAAAAAUCAAGAGGAUGAGUCUAUGAAGACGAUCGAGCUUUCGGACAAAUUGAAGAACGUAGUCCGGACGAUUGGGGAGACAGAGGCAAAAGCGGACGUCUUUGCGCUGUACAAUUUCGAGGCGUUCGUCCACGGGUUAGGCCUUUCGGUGUCUACUGAUUUCGAGAGGCGAGGCAUCGGAGCCGAGAUGCUGAUGGCGAGGGCAGAGAUCUGCAAACCGACGGACACUCCGGUCAGCGCUACCAUAUUCACCGGAGGCGCAUCACAGAGGCUCGCUGAGAGGUGCGGAUUCGAGACCAUCGCCGAAACGGAUCUCACGACUCACUGCAUCGACGGACAGAUCGCCUACCGCGAACCUAAAUGGCCUAUCAUUAAGUGGAUGGCAAAACGCUAUUUUUAAGUAUAAACCUAGGAAACGGUUGUCGAUGGAGUCGUCAAAUGGCGUACAGUGCAACCAGAGACAAGAGAUCCUCCACUGGCCUCUUGGCGACAGAUGGAAGCUUUUUUUUCAUGGAUUCAUCAAUUCCUAAUGGACAAUUAUAAGGGAAAAAACAGUCAUGAACCUAAUUUCGGCUGUUGAUCUACCUACAUAGUGGAUGAUGAGCUUCGGGUGACGUCAUGAGCCAAACAAGUUUCUCAAACUUCGGCCAUUUUCGGCUUGUUUGUAAAACAAAACUGCCGACACGUUGUUGAACGUCAACCUUGUAGGUAAGUCAACAGGAGAAUGAAGACAAGCGGGAAAGCUCUAAUACGUGGGUAUUAGAGAAGCGCUCAGCGGUGAGCUUUCAUAUAUCGACGGUGAAACUACCAAACCACGUAUCUCGGUUUGCGACGUCGCAGACUUCCUGUCAUACUUUAUUUUUUAAAUGAAAAACUACUUACGUCUAGUCCUGAAAAUUUCUGUGAUUUUUCCUCUUCGUGCGGAGAAAAUUCUGUGAAAAUUUCAAGGAAUGAUAUUGAUUUGGUCUACUUCAAAAAAUAAAAUGCGAGCGUAGAUUUUUAAACACCGCAAACGAGAUACGUGGUUUGGUAGUUUCACCGUCGAUAUAUUAGAUUAAGAUGAAGAGAAAAAGUG
Molecule: long non-coding RNA, 1512 nt
Filed under: Bemisia tabaci
Lineage: Eukaryota; Metazoa; Arthropoda; Insecta; Hemiptera; Aleyrodidae
Description: lncRNA ENSSWEETPG003178
Source: RNAcentral